GAUGAACGCUGGCGGCGUGCCUAAUACAUGCAAGUCGAGCGAACAGACGAGGAGCUUGCUCCUCUGACGUUAGCGGCGGACGGGUGAGUAACACGUGGAUAACCUACCUAUAAGACUGGGAUAACUUCGGGAAACCGGAGCUAAUACCGGAUAAUAUAUUGAACCGCAUGGUUCAAUAGUGAAAGACGGUUUUGCUGUCACUUAUAGAUGGAUCCGCGCCGCAUUAGCUAGUUGGUAAGGUAACGGCUUACCAAGGCAACGAUGCGUAGCCGACCUGAGAGGGUGAUCGGGCACACUGGAACUGAGAACCGGUCCAGACUCCUACGGGAGGCAGCAGUAGGGAAUCUUUCGCAAUGGGCGAAAGCCUGACGGAGCCACGCCGCGUGAGUGAUGAAGGUCUUCGGAUCGUAAAACUCUGUUAUUAGGGAAGAACAAAUGUGUAAGUAACUAUGCACGUCUUGACGGUACCUAAUCAGAAAGCCACGGCUAACUACGUG
Molecule: ribosomal RNA, 497 nt
Filed under: uncultured bacterium
Lineage: Bacteria
Description: partial 16S ribosomal RNA
Rfam family: Bacterial small subunit ribosomal RNA
Source: RNAcentral